GACGAACGCUGGCGGCGUGCUUAACACAUGCAAGUCGAACGGAAAGGCCCUGCUUUUGUGGGGUGCUCGAGUGGUGAAAGGGUGAGUAACACGUGAGUAACCUGCCCUUGACUUUGGGAUAACUUCAGGAAACUGGGGCUAAUACCGGAUAGGAGCUCCUGCUGCAUGGUGGGGGUUGGAAAGUUUCGGCGGUUGGGGAUGGACUCGCGGCUUAUCAGCUUGUUGGUGGGGUAGUGGCUUACCAAGGCUUUGACGGGUAGCCGGCCUGAGAGGGUGACCGGCCACAUUGGGACUGAGAUACGGCCCAGACUCCUACGGGAGGCAGCAGUGGGGAAUAUUGCACAAUGGGCGGAAGCCUGAUGCAGCAACGCCGCGUGCGGGAUGACGGCCUUCGGGUUGUAAACCGCUUUCGCCUGUGACGAAGCGUGAGUGACGGUAAUGGGUAAAGAAGCACCGGCUAACUACGUG
Molecule: ribosomal RNA, 468 nt
Filed under: uncultured bacterium
Lineage: Bacteria
Description: partial 16S ribosomal RNA
Rfam family: Bacterial small subunit ribosomal RNA
Source: RNAcentral